Molecule: ribosomal RNA, 218 nt
Filed under: uncultured bacterium
Lineage: Bacteria
Description: partial 16S ribosomal RNA
Rfam family: Bacterial small subunit ribosomal RNA
Source: RNAcentral
UGAGGAACCUGCCCUGUAGACCGGAAUAACCAUGGGAAACUGUGGCUAAUGCCGGAUGAUCUCCGCAGUCCGCAUGGACUGCAGAGGAAAUGGUCAGCCGCUACAGGAUGGCCUCGCGGCCUAUCAGCUCGUUGGCGGGUAACGCCCACCAAGGCGACGACUGGUAGCUGGCGUGAGAGCGCGACCAGCCACACGUGGGACUGAGACACCGGCACGUA